This 502-nucleotide ribosomal RNA is filed under the name uncultured bacterium. Its description in RNAcentral is "partial 16S ribosomal RNA". It matches the Rfam family "Bacterial small subunit ribosomal RNA", at positions 28 to 507 of the family's 1533-position model. The record is from RNAcentral.
GACGAACGCUGGCGGCGUGCCUAAUACAUGCAAGUCGAACGAACCGCGACUAGGUGCUUGCACUUGGUCAAGGUGAGUGGCGAACGGGUGAGUAACACGUGGGUAACCUACCCCAUAGUGGGGGAUAACAGUCGGAAACGACUGCUAAUACCGCAUAGGACAUAGGAUCACAUGAUCCAGUGAGGAAAGGUGGCGCAAGCUAUCGCUAAGAGAUGGACCCGCGGUGCAUUAGCUAGUUGGUAGGGUAAAGGCCUACCAAGGCGAUGAUGCAUAGCCGACCUGAGAGGGUGAUCGGCCACAUUGGGACUGAGACACGGCCCAAACUCCUACGGGAGGCAGCAGUAGGGAAUCUUCCGCAAUGGACGCAAGUCUGACGGAGCAACGCCGCGUGAGUGAAGAAGGUCUUCGGAUCGUAAAGCUCUGUUGUUAGAGAAGAACAGCGCAUAGAGUAACUGUUAUGCGUGUGACGGUAUCUAACCAGAAAGCCACGGCUAACUACGUG